UGAGUUUGAAUUGAAUUUGAACAUCUCAAUGUGUGGCAGUCAAGCUUAGUAUAUUACUGCUAGUUAGUUGCAAGUCUUUAAAUACUGGUUAGGUGUAAUGUAGUAAACUUCCUCCAUAAAAAAUCAUUGUAUAUCACCAGCAGCUUAUUAACACUUCCUAUGUUUUGUACACCAGAUACACCAAAUAAUUGCUAAUUAAAUCAAUUAAAGCUUUUAUAUAGAGCUACUUUCAUGCUUAUAGUAUGCUCAGAGCACUGUGGACCAGGUUGGGGGGGG
Molecule: non-coding RNA, 276 nt
Organism: Biomphalaria pfeifferi
Lineage: Eukaryota; Metazoa; Mollusca; Gastropoda; Planorbidae
Source: the annotation of a GenBank genome assembly